This 379-nucleotide ribosomal RNA is filed under the name uncultured cyanobacterium. Its description in RNAcentral is "bacterial SSU rRNA". It matches the Rfam family "Bacterial small subunit ribosomal RNA", at positions 376 to 770 of the family's 1533-position model. The record is from RNAcentral. Lineage: Bacteria; Bacillati; Cyanobacteriota.
CGCAAGCCUGACGGAGCAACGCCGCGUGAGGGAGGAAGGCCUGUGGGUUGUAAACCUCCUUUCUCAGGGAAGAAGCUCUGACGGUACCUGAGGAAUCAGCAUCGGCUAACUCCGUGCCAGCAGCCGCGGUAAGACGGAGGAUGCAAGCGUUAUCCGGAAUUAUUGGGCGUAAAGCGUCCGCAGGUGGCUAGUCAAGUCUGCUGUCAAAGACCAGGGCUUAACCCUGGGCCGGCAGUGGAAACUGGUUAGCUGGAGUACGGUAGGGGUAGAGGGAAUUCCUGGUGUAGCGGUGAAAUGCGUAGAUAUCAGGAAGAACACCGGUGGCGAAAGCGCUCUACUAGACGGCAACUGACACUCAGGGACGAAAGCUAGGGGAGCG